GAUGAACGCUAGCUACAGGCUUAACACAUGCAAGUCGAGGGGCAGCAUGAACUUAGCUUGCUAAGCUUGAUGGCGACCGGCGCACGGGUGAGUAACGCGUAUGCAACUUACCUAUCAGAGGAGAAUAGCUCAUCGAAAGAUGAAUUAAUGCUCCAUAAAACAGGGGUCCCGCAUGGGAAUAUUUGUUAAAGAUUUAUCGCUGAUAGAUAGGCAUGCGUUCCAUUAGGCAGUUGGCGGGGUAACGGCCCACCAAACCGACGAUGGAUAGGGGUUCUGAGAGGUUGAACGGCCACAUUGGGACUGAGAUACGGCCCAG
This 316-nucleotide ribosomal RNA is filed under the name uncultured bacterium. Its description in RNAcentral is "bacterial SSU rRNA". It matches the Rfam family "Bacterial small subunit ribosomal RNA", at positions 28 to 334 of the family's 1533-position model. The record is from RNAcentral.